CUUCACAAAAAAAGACAUGUGAAAUCUGAGCCUUCAACAUGUGAAAAGCCAAUGCAAAUGAAUCCUAACCAAAGGAGAUCUAUAAUUUCUCUCUAGGUAUCCAUUAUAGCAGAGAAGACCGUUUAAAAGAGGCAACAUCGAGAUCUCUCACUGCCAAAGGCUACUGAAUAGAAUAUACUUGCAAAUGGACCUAUUUUCUCUUCUUUACUUUGAAAUGUAAGUUUCUUGAAAGCAGCUUUGGUUUCAUUCUUGGUAUUCCUGUCUCCAACCCCAAUUAGCCCUGGUACUUAGUAGGUCUAUAAUAAUGCUUGCUUGCUUGGUAGAUAUAGAAGUCCUAUAGCUUGGGUUCAAGUCUGGGUUCUGAAACCUAUUAACUUUGUCACCUUGGG
This 389-nucleotide long non-coding RNA is filed under the name Monodelphis domestica (gray short-tailed opossum). RNAcentral describes it as "lncRNA (ENSMODG00000039901.1)". Lineage: Eukaryota; Metazoa; Chordata; Mammalia; Didelphimorphia; Didelphidae. The record is from RNAcentral.